This 568-nucleotide RNase P RNA is filed under the name Patescibacteria group bacterium. RNAcentral's name for it is "RNase P RNA component class A". It matches the Rfam family "Bacterial RNase P class A". Rfam says of the family: Ribonuclease P (RNase P) is a ubiquitous endoribonuclease, found in archaea, bacteria and eukarya as well as chloroplasts and mitochondria. Its best characterised activity is the generation of mature 5'-ends of tRNAs by cleaving the 5'-leader elements of precursor-tRNAs. The record is from RNAcentral.
UCGGCGUAGCAGAUGACCGCUCUGGGUUAAACCGGAGAGGAAAGUCCGAGCACCGAACCGUUGGUAACAACGGCUGAAAGCGACAGCGGCUAACGACCGCCAGGAGCAACGUGGAAAUCAUCUGAAGGACGUUCACGCGUCCGACGGAACCACGCCAAGCCUAGGGAAAGUGCCACAGAGACAAUACUAUCCUUGUUAGGACGGGCAAAUUUGGAUGAAGUUCUAGGCACCGACGAGCACGCGACGACUGCUAGCAUCGCUAGCACGAGGAGCGAGCGCAGGAGGCAACGACGAAAUUCGCCAAAUUUGCCCGUCCUCGGGAGAAAGGUGAAAAGUGGCGGGAUGUGGCUAUCUUCUUCGGAAGCAAUGGUUCGCGACCCGUCUCCUCCAUUGGUAACAGUGGAGCGUGGUAAACCCUGUCUGGUGCAAGAGCAAAUCCGUUGAUGGCAACAUCAAAGGAAUGGUCGCUCGCUGGAGCGGUGAAGCGAUUCACCGCCAAGAGAGAUGGUCAUCCAAUCUCGGGUCACACCGGGAGGGACAAAACUCGGCUUACCGCUACGCCAGAAAA